GCAUUUAUUCUCUGAUCUGGUCCCAGCGGGUGGAGGGGGGUUGACACACCACAUGUGGACAAACCAACAAAAAGGUUGAUUCUGCAGCUCUUAGCUCCCUGCUGACCUGCAGACCUUGAUCAACGCUGGAGGGUGAUUCAUACCAACACACAGCAGGUCGUUACAUCAGGGAUACAACUGACGACAACAAGCAAACAAAUGAGCUGCAGAGGUCAACAGGAAACAUGGCCGAGACGGAGGUGGAAGGUCAGAGCACAAGGCCAGAGAGUAUUGAUGCUCGGUGUUUGCUCCACGCUGGUGAGCACACAGCUCAAGAAAAAACGUCUAUUUCCCCUCAGUAUCCUUUUUCACUCUUUGCAUUUUCUGUUUUUGUACGAUGAGAGAAACAGACAUAACUCCGCUGGAUUGAGAAUGGCGCAACAAUAUUGGUAUUGCAAUACCGUCAUCAGUGUUUUAAACAUUUGUCCUUUUUUUUUUGUGCACACAAGGUUUGACUCAUGCAUGAAAACGAAGGAGAAGGUUUCUGUCCUCCAGCAUCCUUGUAGCUACGGUAGCAGGUAAGAAAGAGGUGCAGUGGAGGGAGUGACUAACCGAAGCAGAGCCACUCUCACUAACCAGAGAGCCGAAGAGUGUGUUUACUGAGAAACCCAACAGUGGAGCAGUGAGCAGGAAAAACAGGCACUCUGCAAGUUAGAUGUCGACUGGAGAAGAUGGGUUCAGACCAAAGUGACGUAUCUGAGGUAAAAAGUCACAUGACCGGUGACAUCUGCAGUUUCAGAUUGUCAUGAUUACUCUGGUUUCCACAAAAGAGCUCAUUGUGGAGUCUUGUUUUUGUGUGUUUGGAGUGUUUCACAGAGGUUGAGCGGGUCCUCCUGAUUCACCUACAAUCACCACCUUCUUUUACACUCUGGGUCGGACUGCUUGUUGUCAGAUGACUCCUGCUUGUUGGCUAACUUCUUGAGAGGCUAAAUUAUGUAAGUUUACCUGUAAAUGUUUUUGCCAUUGAUUAAUCCUCGCUCCUUUCUCCUCCAGCGCCUCCGCCAACCGCCAGUGUUUGCCAAAACUUUUCUACACCGCUAGGGUGACCAAACGUCCUCUUUUACCCGUUCAUGUCCUCUUUUGGGGGGUUGUUCAGCUUUGUCCAGGAAGUUUAUGAAACCCUUUAAAUGUCUGGGGUUUUGUACAGAAGUUUUGAGUUUGUGUCACGUGGACUAACUGGGUUGGAAGCUCGUAAAAAACACUCGACCCGACCUGAAAAACUUAAAACUCACUACGCGCAAUUCCUUGACUCUGUCCCACGUAAUCGCGUCCUCUUUUGGGGCAUUCAGAAUAUGGUCACUUAUUAACCACGGAUCUCCUUCACUCCCUUGACCCCAGAGCUCACUUCACCAGUACAAUCUAAUGAAGCAUAGCGUUAGUUCUGGCAGGUCAUGACAUCAAGCAUUGAUCUGCAGCCAAUGGCAAGUAGCCACCUCAACCAGCUGAUGAUCCAGCUAUUUCCUCCGAGCUCCUAUUGGUCUUUGCCUUUAGAGCGCUCUAUUUAAAACUGCCCUGACCCCGCCUCAUGAGGGGCGGGAAGGUGCUCUUCCUGCUGUUGGCCUUUCACGCAUGCUUACGUGGUGAACAGGGGCCCCAAACAGAACCUCCCUGCUAUCGCCUUUUUACGAUGGCUCGUGAGGGGUAGGAAGGGGCUCUUCAGGCCUCUGGCCUCCGCGCAAGCAUGUGGAAGGGCAGGGACCAAGAACAGAACCAUGCCGCCAAAUUUAACUUUGCAUGAUAAGACUUCUACUUCUACUGCCUCCUUUACCUGCUUUUGGGUCCCCUCAAGAACGAUCUAUGACGACAAAUCUUAACACAAAGGUCACCAAAACUGUUUCCUCUACUUGAACCUCCAAACUUCUCUUAUAUAAAGGGCUUUGUCCAACAAAUAUUGAAUGCAGUACAACGUCUAAACAAAGGUAAGCACAGACGUGUUAAUAUGAUAUUGUAUGAGAGGGAGGAGAGGCCACUGUGCGUAAUCGUUUUUGGUCUUUUUCAUGUUCUGCAAUAAAAUAUCAUCACUGCAAAAGAGCAGGAUGCAGAGAAGAUCAGUGAUGUUGUGAUGGACGUUCGAUCCCACCGUUUAGAGACGGGUCAGAAGGUGACACAAACCCGAACCAUCUAGAAACAGGACCGUGCGAAGACUCCAGCACGCUUCAUCAACAUUUAAACCAAUUUAGGGGAGAAUUACUGCAAAGAGAACUCCAGAAACCACAGUCAGGUCACAGAUAUGAACGUAUCAGACUGUUACAGCUGUAUUAUGUUCUGUUGACGCUGAGACGCCCUGCAGGAAAAAGGUCAGAAGUGCUUCAUCUGCAGAUCUGAUCCACGGGUCAAAGAGUAGAUCUAGAAAAUAUCAAUACACUUUAUUUUUCUGCUUCAGUAAUUUCAACCGCAAAAAAGAAAGAGUUGAAUGUCUUUAAUUCAGCCCUUAGGGUGCAGUUUUUUUUACACCUGCUACAUCUGAGCGAUCAUUAAAACCAUCAUGGCUGACCUCCUGACCUCACACUCCUGCUGAAGCUGCUUCAUGUAAAACUCGGAGUAAAACACACCUCGUGAUACAACGCACUGUUGGUAGACGGAUUAAAAACAGCAUUAAAUCAGAUUAUUGACUUUACCUGUUUGUGUGUUAGUCAGCCGUCAGGACUGAAGUGUGGAGGGUGUAACAAAACAAUGAAACCAUGAGGAGUUUACCUGCUGAUGAAGAGGAUCAUAAAUCCAGUUAGUGUUGGGCGGUAUGAACAAAAUCUUCUAUCACAGUAUCAGUAAUUUUAUUUCACAGUAUCGGUAUAUAUCACUGUAUGUUUUUCUCCUGUCAAUUCAACUAAUUGCUUAAAAAUAAAAAAACUGUUGCAUUUGUUCAUUUUCUUUUUAUUUUUAAACUCAAAUUUGGAAACAAAUACAAACAAAAUCUCAGACCAGUCUGCCGAUUUUUGAUCAUAUGUCAUAUCUUUGGCGAAAGACUCUGCCAAACUCUUUAGUCUGAGAGGAGCUGCUGCAGUUUUAGUUUUCGGUGCAGCAGGUGCGUCACGCCUCCUUUGUCUCUCGUAAUAGAGUUUGGCGUGUUUCAUCUUUAGGUGGUUGAAGAGGUUGUUGGUGUUUCCUCCUCCAGCAACGACAGACACACCACACUCUUUGCAUAGUUUUGUUUUUUGAUCAUUGUUGGAUUUUCUAAAUCCGAAGAAUCUCCAGACAACCGAUGUCAGGACUCAGGCCCUUUUUCGGAAUGAGUCCCUCCUCCUCUUCCUCGUGUUGUGUGGGUCGUGAUGCCUCCAUUUGCUCGGUACUGCCACUAAUCUCUGCGUCCGCCAUGACCACCACCAGUGAAGCUGUUUCUUCUUCAUCAAAACGAUGCCAAGCAGGACAAAUAGAGCGAACAAGUUCAGCACAACACGCUGGUGAAUAUACGGAAACGCACCCAAACGGAUGCGCUCCGGCUUUCCUGUUAGCGAGCGCAGACAACUACACACUGACUCAGAGAGACGCAGCAGACAUCUGCUCUCUCUCUCUCUCCGGUAUAAACGGUAGAGCAAAAUUUCUACUGGUAGACACUUUUAUACUGUCACAGUUGUACAUACCAACACGAAACCCAGUGAAUCAAAAGCAACAUGAACUCAUUCUGGUGUCCAUCUUCAUCGGACAGUUGACUCUUCCCUCUGUUUUCCAGCAGAAAUAAACUCGAUUCAACAUCGCUUGAACAUCAGUCGUUCGAUGGUGUAAGUUCUCCUUCGGUGUAAUAAGCUGCACGUACUUUAAGGCAGUUCAUAUUCCCUGUGAACUCCUCUGAAAGGGUCACUGUAUAUUCAAAACAAACAGUUAUUUGAUUUGAUUUAUCGUCUGCUUGUUUGUAGAUGAAAGUUAAAUUGCGACUCUGAUCUGUUUCUGCCGAGCAUCAAUCUAACCGAAUGCUCCAGCGGCGGAUAUUUUCUGCUGUUAAAACACGCUGAAUGUUUCCCCGACCUUUUGAUACGUGUGGUUAUUACUCAUUAGAGCGAAAUGUUAUUUUCUGAUUCACAAACAGCAGCUGCCUCCCAUCCUCCUGAUCAAUUUGCUGUUAAAAAAAAAAAAAGAACAACAACAAACAAACCUUUUCAUAUCCCUGUUGUGUUAUUAAUAUUUCUGUGCAUACAAAUGGAAGAGGUCAAAGCACUAAAAGAAAACACACAGAUAUUUCCUUUUCAUCCACCUCCCUGUAUAUGCGGAGGACGUGGAUGAAAUGAGCAACAGCAGAUGAGGAUCGGCUUUUAAUCCCUCCGAGUGAUGAUGGGGAGUUUGUUUCUGGUCCGAGGACACAGGUCUGACACCUCCAGGGAAAUUAUAACCACUCUGUAUUCAUGCUGCCAGGAGCACCGGGCCUCAGAGUGAAAUGAUACACAAUCAAGUUUAAACCCUGUGCGAUAGGAACCGUUUAUGUCCAGGUAGGGAAACUGGUGUAAAAACGCCGAACAGAGAUUUUAUUUCCCCUGUUCUCGCUCCACAACAACGGUUCUUCUCACUGAUGGAGGUUUGCAGACCAGACGGAAGCUCGCUUGUUUCAUACUGAAGUUCUCCUCGGAUGAUUGUCAUUUCAUCUAUGUUGGUGUGUUUCUGCAGGAAAUAACAGUGUGCAUGGAGAGAUGAGUCUGUCACUUCCACAUAGUGACCGUUUCCACUCAGUGAGUGAGAAUCUGCAAUGCUGUUUUUUUUUUUUUUUUAUGAUUAACAUUUUUUUUAUUUCCAUUUUUCUUUUAAACAGUACAAACACAAACACAAAAACACAAAACAUCCCUCCCUCCCUCCCCAAGUCACCACCAACUGCACUCAUUCCUCUCUGGCUUGCAAAGUACGCCACUGUGCUACUCCUUGUACCACUUGCCUUGUUGGAUCGGCUGCAUCAAUGUAGCUAAACAUAAAGCAAUCACAAUCUCUACACAAAUCAUCGUUGAGAUACAAGAAAAUAUAUGAAUAAAAUAAGAUAAAAUAAUAAAUAAAAAAUAUUAAUAAGUAUAUAACAAUAAAUAUACAUAUACAUACACAUACUAUAAAAUAGAAUAAUAACUAUAGUAAUAGAAAAUAUACAAUAUAUAUACUAUAUGUAAUUAUAAUUAUAUCAAUUCACAAAAUAUAAAUGAUAUAUACAUAAAAAUAAAUAAAUACAUAAAUAAAUAUAUAAAAAUAACUGAAUACAUACAAACACCUAAUAAGCAAGUAAUUUAAAAUAAUGGGUAAAAUAAAUAAUAAUUAAAAAAAAUAAAUAAAUCUGCGAUGCUGUUUUAUAGACGAUGAAUAACUCAUGAAAUCUGGGAAGUUCUUACGGUUGGAGUGCUUUGCAGUUGAUCAGAAAGACAGUCGAGCCCAACCACACGUGAAUCUGCCAUGAGGUACCUUUGAAAUAAACUCAGUGCACAGAUGAAAGCCUGUAGGAUAAUCUACUUUUGGUGGUUUAGUGGGGCACAAAGAUCGGAUAAAGAACCUUUUUCUCUUGGAGAGUCAGGUGUGUCUAUCACGCCUCUCUAUGUAAACACACGAGACCUGACUCCCCUCCUUCUACUGCGUCUCUGAACACACAGGAAACACUCUCAGGAUGAUCUAUGAGUCAUGUCAGUUCAUGGAUUAUUGUCAAAUUCACUGAAACGAUUCCUCUGAACAACAGAAACAAAAGUGACUCUCCGAUUGGCACAAAUACACAAAAGGCACGGCAGCAUGAACAUGAACAUCCCCGUUAUCUGUAACUGAAGUCCAGAGUGUGUUCAUCAAACGAAGGUUGGGUUUGGAUAUCGGUGUUUUUUUGAGCGUCUGUUUCUGCUUACCUGUGAGAGUGCGCAUGAUGGAGAGCUUGAUGACGUUCAUAGUCUGGAGGGCGGAGGUGAAGCCGGUCUGUGAGGUGAUGGUGAUGAUGGUGUCCUGAGAUCGAAACGUUUCUGCUUUUUAUAUAUUUUAUAAUUUAAGAUGAGUUUUGAAAACUGGAGGUGAUCAACCCCCAAAUUCCACCGCAUGCGGAACAGCAGCAAU
This is a non-coding RNA of Xyrichtys novacula (pearly razorfish), 6030 nucleotides long. NCBI's taxonomy places the organism in Eukaryota, Metazoa, Chordata, Actinopteri, Labriformes, Labridae. The record is from the annotation of a GenBank genome assembly.